GAGGCAGUGGGGAGCGAGGGAGGAGGGACAGCGAGGAGGGUUUGUGCGUGGCCGGGGCAGCCCGCACCUCCGCACUCCAGCCCUGUCCGACCGCCGGGCUGGAUCGCUGUUGGUAUGGCAACGCAUCCCUGCACUAACCAAACCGUGACAGGCCAGAUGUUUUGUCCUGUUAUGUUAAGUCAUCUUGACAUACUGCCAUGAAAUGGAAAUAACUGCUAGUUUUUACUUUGCUCCGCAUCUUUAUUAAAAGAGUCAUCAAUCUCAUGAGAGUCAUCUUGCCAUCUGUACCAGCAUUGCUCCAGGCUUCCAUAUGAAAGUCCAAUCUGGCGGUAUAAAUACUGGAUAAUGAAGACACUAGCAGAGACUUCACAGUACACACCACUGCUGACCCCAGAAAUGACCCACAGGAACUACUGGCGAAAGGAGCGAAAAGGUUGGCAUCAGAACUGAAGAUCAGGGACCAGCCAACCUCUUUAAAUGUGGUGAGCAGAACUGAUGUGCCUGGGAUACAGCUAACAAAAACUAGAGACCUGUAAGAUGCCACUUCCUUCUCCCUCUCCUAAUGACCUAGCCUAAUGACUAGGACUGUAUUGCUCCCUCAGGUACCCUGAGCUUCAUUCUACACAGCUCAGAAAGAUGUAAUGUCCUUUUCUAUCUGAAGCUGCUUAAUCUGCCAAAUACCAUGUUCACCACAUUACUAAUGCACUGGUGACCCUGAUCAUGCUAGAAGCAGCAGCUCAGAAUGUAAUAUUUGGGCCACAUCAAGAUUGCAGUGUUGGCAGUGAGUAAGGUAGAGAAAAAAAAUCUCUGUAUUUAGAAUCAUAGAUAGAAUCCUUAGAGUUCAAAGGGACCUUGAAGGGUCAUCUAGUCCAACUCCCCUGCAGUGAACAGGGAGAUCUAUGGUUCAGUCACGUUGCUUAGAGCCCCAUCCAGACUGACCAGGGAUGGGGCAUCCACCACAUCUCUGGGCAGCCUGUAGCAAUGCCUCAGAACCCUCACUGCAGAAGACCUUUUCCUUGUAUCUAACCUAAAUUUCCCCUCUUUAAGUUUGAAAUCAUCUUCCCAUGGCCCCAUCACCACAGACCCUACUAGAGAGCCUUUUCCCUUCUUUCCUAUAGCUCCCCUUUAGAUACUGAAAGGUCUCACUCAGGUCUUCACAGAGACUUUGCUUCUUUGUGCUGGUCAGCCCCAGCUCUCUCAGCCUGUCCUCAGAGGAGCGGUGUUCCAUCCCUUGAACCAUUUUUGUGCCCCUCCUCUGGACACAGUCCAGCAGGUCCAUGUCU
Gallus gallus (chicken) is the source of this 1283-nucleotide long non-coding RNA. RefSeq lists it as uncharacterized. The transcript has 5 exons. Lineage: Eukaryota; Metazoa; Chordata; Aves; Galliformes; Phasianidae. The record is from RefSeq and is a predicted model, not a curated record.